This 506-nucleotide ribosomal RNA is filed under the name uncultured bacterium. RNAcentral describes it as "bacterial SSU rRNA". It matches the Rfam family "Bacterial small subunit ribosomal RNA", at positions 28 to 528 of the family's 1533-position model. The record is from RNAcentral.
GAUGAACGCUAGCAGCAGGCCUAACACAUGCAAAGUCGAACGGUAACAGGGAUAGCAAUAUCUGCUGACGAAUGGCGGAUGGGUGAGUAACACGUUUGCAACUUACCUUUGACUGGGGGAUAGCCUGAAGAAAUUUGGAUUAAUACCCCAUAAUAUUUAUAGAAGGCAUCUUUUAUAAAUUAAAGCUCCGGCGGUCAAAGAUAGGCAUGCGUACCAUUAGCUUGUUGGUGAGGUAAAAGCUCACCAAGGGCAACGAUAGUUAGGGGGGUCUAAGAGGAUAAUCCCCCCACACUGGUACUGAAACACGGACCAGACUCCUACGGGAGGCAGCAGUGAGGAAUAUUGGACAAUGGACGAAAAUCUGACCCAGCCAUGCCGCGUGCAGGAUGAAUACCCUAUGGGUUGUAAACUGCUUUUGUACAAAAAGAACCCCGGACGUGUCGGGUUGUACAAUAUGUACGAAUAAGAUCGCUAACCUACCGUCGCCAGCAGCCGCGGUAAGAGUC